RNAcentral lists this ribosomal RNA (238 nucleotides) under uncultured bacterium. RNAcentral describes it as "partial 16S ribosomal RNA". It matches the Rfam family "Bacterial small subunit ribosomal RNA", at positions 96 to 334 of the family's 1533-position model. The record is from RNAcentral.
CGGCGGACGGGUGAGUAACGCGUGGGUAACCUGCCUCAUACAGGGGGAUAACAGUUGGAAACGGCUGCUAAUACCGCAUAAGCGCACAGUACCGCAUGGUACGGUGUGAAAAACUCCGGUGGUAUGAGAUGGACCCGCGUCUGAUUAGGUAGUUGUUGGGGUAACGGCCUACCAAGCCGACGAUCAGUAGCCGACCUGAGAGGGUGACCGGCCACAUUGGGACUGAGACACGGCCCAA